This 586-nucleotide long non-coding RNA is filed under the name Dasypus novemcinctus (nine-banded armadillo). RNAcentral describes it as "lncRNA (ENSDNOG00000051322.1)". The record is from RNAcentral. Lineage: Eukaryota; Metazoa; Chordata; Mammalia; Cingulata; Dasypodidae.
GAAACCCACUGAGGUGCCAGUUCUGCUUCAAGGUGCAUCUGCCCUCCGAAUCUGGCGUGGAUUCCCCGGUCAGGGUUGUGCCCCAGAAUCAGGGUGACAAAAUGUAACCUUAUUUAGAGGUGCAGACGCCGAGGGCAAGUGAAGCCAGACUUAACUGAGGAAAGUUGGUGUGUAGAGUCUCAAAGUCUGGGAAUCUCUGCAGUAGUUUUACAAUUACUUAAAGAAGCCCUGAGAAACACUUCCGGUUUAUGCACUGUACAAGACAAUCCUUACUGGAAUCUGACUUUGUUGUCCUGCAAUCUCCUGAAAGCUGCAGAGCAAGGGAAGGAGGCCAGGACCUUGGCCUUCACCCCAGCUAUGGACCAACGUGAGAGAGGAUUUGCCCAGCAGCUGGAGAACCUGACCUUGACUGAAUAACCUGGAGAUAAGCUCACAGGCAGGACACACUUUUUGCAAAGCAAUUUUUAAAAAGUGGGCUUUAUCUGGGGACCCACUGUUUCCUCCCCAUCCAUGGUCACAAGCCCUCCAGGACAAAAUAGAUGUCAAAUAAAUAUUCAUUGAACGAAUUCAUAUCCCUGUUCUCUUU